Molecule: ribosomal RNA, 339 nt
Filed under: uncultured bacterium
Lineage: Bacteria
Description: bacterial SSU rRNA
Rfam family: Bacterial small subunit ribosomal RNA
Source: RNAcentral
AGCGAACGUUAGCGGCAGGCCUAACACAUGCAAGUCGUGCGAGAAAGGGGCUUCGGCCCUGAGUAAAGCGGCGGACGGGUGCGUAACACGUGGGUAAUGUGUCCUUCAGCGGGGGAUAACGGUCCGAAAGGAUCGCUAAUACCGCAUACGUCGGAGUCGGCUUCGGCCUUCUCCAGGAAAGGUGGCCUCUUCAUGAAAGCUACCACUGAAGGAGCAGCCCGCGUCCCAUCAGCUAGUUGGUGAGGUAAUGGCUCACCAAGGCUUAGACGGGUAGCUGGUCUGAGAGGAUGAUCAGCCACACUGGAACUGAGACACGGUCCAGACUCCUACGGGUGGCAG